CUCCCGGCACGGGGAGGUAGUGACGAAAAAUAACGAUACGGGACUCAUCCGAGGCCCCGUGAUCGGAAUGAGCACACUUUAAAUCCUUUAACGAGGAUCAAUUGGAGGGCAAGUCUGGUGCCAGCAGCCGCGGUAAUUCCAGCUCCAAUAGCGUAUAUUAAAGUUGCUGCGGUUAAAAAGCUCGUAGUCGAAAUUGUGUCCUCGGCCGCCGGUUCGUCGCUCGCGACGCCAACUGGCGCGCACCGCUGGACGUCCAGCCGGUACAACGAACUCGCCUACGGGGUGCUCUUAACCGAGUGUCCAGGCGGGGGCCGGCAACGUUACUUUGAACAAAUUAAAGUGCUUAAAGCAGGCUAAAUUGCGCUCGCAUACACGCGCAUGGAAUAAUCGAAUAGGACCUCCGUUCUAUUUUGUUGGGUUUUUGUGGAACGACAGACGGAGGUAAUGAUCAAUGGGUGCGGAUGGGGGCAUUCGUAUUGCGACGUUAGAGGUGAAAUUGGUUGGACCGUCGCAAGACGGACUUAAGCGAAAGCAUUUGCCAAAAACGCUUUCAUCGAUCAAGAACGAAAGUUAGAGGUUCGAAGGCGAUCAGAUACCGCCCUAGUUCUAACCAUAAACUAUGCCAGCUAGCGAUCCGCCGAAGUUACUUYUAUGACUCGGCGGGCAGCUUCCGGGAAACCAAAGCUUUCGGGUUCCGGGGGAAGUAUGGUUGCAAAGCUGAAACUUAAAGGAAUUGACGGAAGGGCACCACCAGGAGUGGAGCCUGCGGCUUAAUUUGACUCAACACGGGAAACCUCACCAGGCCCGGACACCGGAAGGAUUGACAGAUUGAGAGCUCUUUCUUGAUUCGGUGGGUGGUGGUGCAUGGCCGU
Molecule: ribosomal RNA, 872 nt
Filed under: Photinus tanytoxus
Lineage: Eukaryota; Metazoa; Arthropoda; Insecta; Coleoptera; Lampyridae
Description: SSU rRNA
Rfam family: Eukaryotic small subunit ribosomal RNA
Source: RNAcentral